GAAAAGGAAAGAACAAGAACACAUUGGAAAAAAGCUCUCGCCAUCCACAUGAGACACAUGGAUAAUGGAUCACCAAAAAGCCAAACAGAUCAGUUUCAGCUCAGGCUGCUUGAGCUCUCCCAAGGUGAAUGGAUGCAUCAUUUUUGCUGAAGCAUUUUGUGAACUGAGAUGGUUCUAUCCUCAUUAGUAGUUAUGCAAGGUCUGUAUGAGUAUUAGCGAGCAUGGCAAGUACACAACUGGACAGAAGUUAGCUACUUUGGUUCUUUCACUGGACAAAGAUUCAACUUGAAAAUGAUUUACAGCUGAUGAAUCUGCUCUUUUCUGCCACUUACUCAAUAACUAGACACCCUGCUUCAUAGAAAGGGAAAAAGAAAUGGUCUUGCAAUGAAAUCCACAGUUGGCAUUAACCUGUGUCAGCAUAAGAAGAAUGUGAAGGGCGAAAUGAACAUUAAAGCUGUUCGGCUCACUGGAAACCAAGUUCCUUGUUAAUGAGUUACAACCAUAAAGCACUUGUGAGCCAUACCACCCUGUUUCAUUUCCUCCUCCCCCGAGUCGCUCUGCUGUGACCAUGAGUUGCUAUUGGAAGUGGGGACAGGCAGCCAGGAUACCAAAAUGAAAUGGAAUAAACUCCCUUUGCAGAAGAGUUAAAGUAGUACUGACUACAAAGAGGCA
RNAcentral lists this long non-coding RNA (672 nucleotides) under Gallus gallus (chicken). RNAcentral's name for it is "long non-coding RNA NONGGAT004432". Lineage: Eukaryota; Metazoa; Chordata; Aves; Galliformes; Phasianidae. The record is from RNAcentral.